RNAcentral lists this ribosomal RNA (337 nucleotides) under uncultured bacterium. RNAcentral's name for it is "partial 16S ribosomal RNA". It matches the Rfam family "Bacterial small subunit ribosomal RNA", at positions 338 to 667 of the family's 1533-position model. The record is from RNAcentral.
CCUACGGGAGGCAGCAGUGGGGAAUAUUGCGCAAUGGGCGGAAGAGUGACGCAGCGACGCCGCGUGAAUGACGAAGGCCUUCGGGUCGUAAAGUUCUUUCGACAGGGAAGAAAAUGCCUAUAAGUAACUGUGUAUGUAUUGACGGUACCUGUAUAAGCAGCCCCGGCUAACUCCGUGCCAGCAGCCGCGGUAAUACGGAGGGGGCGAGCGUUGUUCGGAGGGACUGGGCGUAAAGAGCACGUAGGCGGUGUUGUAAGUCAUUAGUCAAAGACUAGAGCUCAACUUUAGUAAGGCUAGUGAUACUGUACUACUAGAGUAUCAGAGAGGAUUGCGGAAU